RNAcentral lists this ribosomal RNA (460 nucleotides) under uncultured bacterium. RNAcentral describes it as "partial 16S ribosomal RNA". It matches the Rfam family "Bacterial small subunit ribosomal RNA", at positions 338 to 795 of the family's 1533-position model. The record is from RNAcentral.
CCUACGGGGCGCAGCAGUGAGGAAUAUUGGUCAAUGGACGAGAGUCUGAACCAGCCAAGUAGCGUGAAGGAUGACUGCCCUAUGGGUUGUAAACUUCUUUUAUAUGGGAAUAAAAUGUUCCACGUGUGGGAUUUUGUAUGUACCAUAUGAAUAAGGAUCGGCUAACUCCGUGCCAGCAGCCGCGGUAAUACGGAGGAUCCGAGCGUUAUCCGGAUUUAUUGGGUUUAAAGGGAGCGUAGGUGGAUUGUUAAGUCAGUUGUGAAAGUUUGCGGCUCAACCGUAAAAUUGCAGUUGAAACUGGCAGUCUUGAGUACAGUAGAGUUGGGCGGAAUUCGUGGUGUAGCGGUGAAAUGCUUAGAUAUCACGAAGAACUCCGAUUGCGAAGGCAGUUCACUGGACUGCAACUGACACUGAGGCUCGAAAGUGUGGGUAUCAAACAGGAUUAGAUACCCCUGUAGUC